This 504-nucleotide ribosomal RNA is filed under the name Shewanella sp. 1Bb1S9. RNAcentral's name for it is "bacterial SSU rRNA". It matches the Rfam family "Bacterial small subunit ribosomal RNA", at positions 380 to 876 of the family's 1533-position model. Lineage: Bacteria; Pseudomonadati; Pseudomonadota; Gammaproteobacteria; Alteromonadales; Shewanellaceae. The record is from RNAcentral. RNAcentral also lists the same sequence under 1 other name.
AGCCUGAUGCAGCCAUGCCGCGUGUGUGAAGAAGGCCUUCGGGUUGUAAAGCACUUUCAGCGAGGAGGAAAGGUUAACGGUUAAUACCCGUUAGCUGUGACGUUACUCGCAGAAGAAGCACCGGCUAACUUCGUGCCAGCAGCCGCGGUAAUACGAGGGGUGCAAGCGUUAAUCGGAAUUACUGGGCGUAAAGCGUACGCAGGCGGUUUGUUAAGCGAGAUGUGAAAGCCCCGGGCUCAACCUGGGAACUGCAUUUCGAACUGGCAAACUAGAGUCUUGUAGAGGGGGGUAGAAUUUCAGGUGUAGCGGUGAAAUGCGUAGAGAUCUGAAGGAAUACCGGUGGCGAAGGCGGCCCCCUGGACAAAGACUGACGCUCAGGUACGAAAGCGUGGGGAGCAAACAGGAUUAGAUACCCUGGUAGUCCACGCCGUAAACGAUGUCUACUCGGAAUUUGGUGUCUUGAACACUGGGUUCUCAAGCUAACGCAUUAAGUAGACCGCCUGG